GUGCUCGUAGCUCAGAUGGAUAGAGUCUUGGCCUCCGAAGUCAAGUGUCGGGCGUUCGAAUCGCCUCGAGCACG
This 74-nucleotide transfer RNA is filed under the name hydrothermal vent metagenome. RNAcentral's name for it is "tRNA-Arg-CCG". It matches the Rfam family "tRNA". From Rfam's summary of the family: Transfer RNA (tRNA) molecules are approximately 80 nucleotides in length. Their secondary structure includes four short double-helical elements and three loops (D, anti-codon, and T loops). The record is from RNAcentral.